UCUGCUGAGGCCUAAAACCAGGAAGGCUCCAUACUCUUGUGGCCUUCCACCCUCCUGAGUUACGUAGGGUUAUGCAUAGUGACACCAACAGUAACACACAAAACACUUAAUUCCCAGCCCCGAAGAGCUGCA
Long non-coding RNA from Gopherus evgoodei (Goodes thornscrub tortoise), 132 nucleotides. RefSeq lists it as uncharacterized. The record is from RefSeq and is a predicted model, not a curated record. Lineage: Eukaryota; Metazoa; Chordata; Testudines; Testudinidae. The transcript is spliced from 4 exons.